This 1479-nucleotide ribosomal RNA is filed under the name Triticum aestivum (bread wheat). Its description in RNAcentral is "partial small subunit ribosomal RNA". The record is from RNAcentral. Lineage: Eukaryota; Viridiplantae; Streptophyta; Magnoliopsida; Poales; Poaceae.
AUGGCGCGGCGCGGCGGCGGCGGCGGCGGGAGGCGGAGCAAGGUGACGCCGAACCUGGGGGCGGACCGGGAGGGCACGCGGAUGCUCAACCUCACCGUGCUGCGGCGCCUCGACCCCGCCAUCGUCGACAUCCUCAUCACCGCCGCCAGCGUCACCGCCUACAGCUUCGACCAGGACACGGUCCGAUGGAGCCACAAGGGCGUGGAGGGGUCGCUCUUCGUCGUCAAGAGGAACACCCAACCCAGAUUCCAGUUUCUCAUCAUGAAUCGUCGAAAUACAGAAAAUCUGGUCGAGGACCUCCUGGGCGGUUUUGAUUACAAGGUGGAAGUUCCUUACAUAAUAUACACCAAUGCUGCAGCCGAAAUUAUUGGAAUAUGGUUCUAUGAGCCUGAGGAAUGUGAAGAAGUAGCACAUCUUUUCAGUAGGAUACGUAAAGCAUAUUCCAGGGCAUCCCCAGAGAAACUGGUUCCUUCAGUUAAAAGUUUCAGUGAUUGUGAAGAGCUGGAAGUAGCAUCUGAUGUUCCCUCAUCUGAAGAUACCCUAGAGCAGCCAACAACACCAUCUACAUUGGUACCUGGCGAUGUUGAAUUCAAGUUAUUGUCAGCUUUGUUAACAGCAGCUGCAUGUGUUGGAGCACCCACUGGUGGAGCAGGUCCAGUACAGCCAAAUCAACCUAUCAGGGCGGUUCCUUCAUCUAGGCGUGCAUCGCCAGCGCCUAGUGCUGUUUCAUCACAGCCUCCUGCCUCACAUAAUCUGCUUCCUGCUCCACGAGCGUCAGCAGCUACCGUGGUUCCCCAAGAUGCUCAUGUACCCACCAGCGCUCCUACCAUUCAGCCUGCUAGUCUUUCAAAACCACCAUUCUUUCCCCCCAUUGUUACCACAUCUUCGCAAGCAGCAACAGCUCAUGCUGCUUUUCCAUCUUCAGCUCCACCCCCAUUUCUUCCCCCCCUUUCCAUUCAGCACCGGCAGAGUGCUCCCUAUUUCCAGCCAUUCCCACUACCCUCUGCUCCUCCUCCAAUUGAUCCUCCGCACAGGCAAAGUGCUCCCUUGUCCCAGCCCUUCGCACAAUCCACUGCUCCUCCCCCACCUGAUCCUCAGCGCAGGGAAAGUGCUCCCUUGGCCCAGCCCUUUACACAAUCCACUGCUCCUCCUGCACUUGAUCCUCAGCAGAGGCAAAGUGCUGUCUUGCUCAAGCCCUUUCAACUAUCCUCUGCUCCCCCUCCACCUCGUCCUCAGCACUGGCAAAGGUCUCCUUCGCUCGAGCACUUUGCACGGCCCACUGAAUGCCUCCCUCCACCAUACGGUGCGCUGUUGCUUCAGCCAUUUCCACCACCUAAUCCUCCUCCUCCACUGCUUGCCCCAACAGCAUCGUAUGGCCCAGUGAUACUAUCAAGAGACAACCUGAGAGGUGCAUUGCUGAGGCUUGUGCAGAAUGAUGAUUUCAUCAACAUGUUCUACCGGGAGAUUGUAAAAGGGUAG